GCCCAGAUGGUGGAAUCGGUAGACACAAGGGAUUUAAAAUCCCUCGGCGUUCGCGCUGUGCGGGUUCAAGUCCCGCUCUGGGCACCA
RNAcentral lists this transfer RNA (87 nucleotides) under Dickeya chrysanthemi. Its description in RNAcentral is "tRNA-Leu". It matches the Rfam family "tRNA". From Rfam's summary of the family: Transfer RNA (tRNA) molecules are approximately 80 nucleotides in length. Their secondary structure includes four short double-helical elements and three loops (D, anti-codon, and T loops). RNAcentral also lists the same sequence under 22 other names. The record is from RNAcentral. Lineage: Bacteria; Pseudomonadati; Pseudomonadota; Gammaproteobacteria; Enterobacterales; Pectobacteriaceae.